Long non-coding RNA from Homo sapiens (human), 782 nucleotides. NCBI's taxonomy places the organism in Eukaryota, Metazoa, Chordata, Mammalia, Primates, Hominidae. The record is from Ensembl.
AAAAUCAGUAUAAUUUGCUGAAGAAGGUUGAAUGACUCCUACAUUUUUUAAGGCAGCUCUGAAAUGAAUGGCUUCAUUUAAUCACAAAAGAAGGAAUACCAGCAAGACCACCCAGGCCCCAGCUCCGGUUUUUCCUGAAGAAUUUGGCCGCAUCUCCCUUUUUGAAGGCAGAGUUUCAUCUUGGUUUUUGAAGGCGUCUCUCAUAAGAUGGCAUUUGAGCAGAGACCUGAGGAAGUGAAAGAUGGAGGGCUGAAGCUUCCAGUUAGAGGAACAAGCAAAGACCCCGAGCAGGAUCAGGAAAGUGUGGUAGAGACAUAAUCAAAGAUUCAGACAAAGAUAUAACUACAGAAUGCACAUGACGGUUUUGUUAAUACACCAAAAGGAAAAAAAUUAAAUAACGGACUCUCCCAAUAAAUUGUGACCAUCUAUAGUUUGGAAUAACAUGAAGAUUGUUAAAAACUAUGUUUACAAGAAUGGCAAUAACAGAGAAACACUUGCUAUAUAAUUUUCACAAUAACAAGGUGAAGAAAUAUUAUAUAUAUAUAUAAUAAAAUUCAAAUUUUUAAGAGAAAUUAAAAUGUAUAGAAAACAUUGGAAAAGGAUACACUUAAUAAUCUUUUUUUCAGCAUGGUAGAAUUGUGGGUGAUUUUUGUUCCCUUUAUAUUUUUUAAUACUUUGUACUUUUUAAUGACAAAUGUAUAUACUACCAUUUAAUGAUAAAAAUAUAUUUUUAAAAUACUGGAUAAGAAUUAUUCAAAUAAAUGCCUUAUUUAAAAGUUAAA